AAUGAAUAAACUAACUUUCAUUAUAUGGAUUUUCAUUACAUUCCUGAUAUUCUGAUUCAAAUUCAAAUUCAGCUACCAACGAGUUGUGACCAAUUUAAUUAAUAUUCAUGAAUGGGAGCCAGUUUUUUAAAUUCUGAAUUGCUCCAAAAGCUGUUUGAUUUAAUUUUAUUUAAUACAGAAAGUCCACUAUAUACCUAAUAUCAUGUUAGGAUUAUUUUAUUAAAUGCAGUGGAAACUGAAAGACAAUUAAAAAAAAAAAAGGUGAACAGAUUUACUAAACAAAAUAUAUUUCAAAAUCACACAUAAAACAUUAAUAGCACAGAGAAAACAAGAGAAGACAUUAAUAAGCCCUCUCGUUUGGUACCCAGGUGUGAAAUGUAGCUAUGAAUUGGCUGAGAGAGGAGGGACUCAGUGUUCAUAUGAUCUUAGUGUCUGACAGAGACUGUGGUUGAAAGGAUUCAGUCCGACUCUUCUCAGAGUGAACACUUGUACAAUGGAUCUUCAUGUACUUAUUCUGUUCUGUGCCUCAGUCAGUAUCUACAUUCAUUUUUAUUGAUCAGUUUUUUGUUUUAAAGAAAACUCACUAAAACACUAAAUGUACAUUUUCUCUUUCAGCUGCUGUCUUUGAAAAUGUCAUCACACCAAAUAAAACAGAGUUAUGUGCUGAGGAGAAUUCAGAUGUUAUCGUUAUCUUGUAAUUAUGCCUCUGCAAAUUAUAUCUGGUAUAGUCAGAAUGGAAGAUCAAAACCUGAUUUUUUUUGUACUCCCCUACUAGGACAAAAGAGACACGGAUGUCUAAAGUAGAUUCAAGACUGUCUAUCAGAAUCUCCAACAGUGAACAAAACCAUGUGAUUCUGGAGAUCUCCUCUGCUGCUGUAUCAGACUCUGCUCUGUACUACUGCGCUCUGAGGACCACAGUCACAGGAAACUCAACGCAAUGUCAAACUCAGUAAAUGUCAACUUACACAAGAUCAGGAGGUUCCUGAAUGUCUUGAUAACUGAAGAGCAGAAAGCAUCAGUAACACAGUCAGAGCACAGAGAGCAUUAACACACAACUGAUCUGAUCAUAUUCACCAUGAACAAAUACAUGCUGCUGCUUUUCAUUAUGGCAUCAGAUGUAAUGGCUGUGGACAAAAUUGAGCCAAACAGAAGGACCAAUAUCAUCAAAACUGAAAGAGAGACUGUAAUGCUGAGCUGCUCUUAUGAGUCAGACAGUGAAUAUGUACGUCUGUAUUGGUACAGACAAUAUCACAAUGGAGAACCUCAAUAUUUAUUACAUCAAGGUUCUCGAUCAAGCAUAACAAGGCACAGCUCCGAUCCUCGAUUUAUGUCAAGUAUUUCUCGCAUUUUCACUGAACUCAUUAUUAGUAGUGUGACUGUGUCAGAUUCAGCUCUCUAUUACUGCACUUUAAGAGUUGAAGCCCAGUGAUACAAACCAUGAAACAAGUCGUACAAAAACUACAAGCCAUUUUCACUUUGAAGCUCUUAUUAUGAAAACCAAAUCAAAACCUCAAUGUUAGAUAAUAACUGCAAACACCUGCGUGAGGUUGAGGCAAGAAAUGUUUUACAAAAGGAAUAAAAAGGAGGUAGAAGGAUUGUAAGUGUAAUGAAUGUACUUUCACUUGCUUUAUGCCUAACAAGUUUAACAUCUGACUUAAUUUCAGCUGUGUAACACUGAAACAAACCAAAAGAGGGCAACAUCUCUCAUCACACUAACAGAGUGGUUUCCUUUAACUUUUCACAAGCUCCUCCUUAAAGUCCUAUCAUAUUAUGAAAGCAAACCUGUCUUAUUUAUUUUGACUUCAUUGUCUGUUUGAAACAGAUCAUGAGGUGGUUCAUGAAUAUAUUUCUAUUUGCACUAUUCAGUCUUGGUAUGUAUUUCUACACAUUUUAAGCAGUUAGACCACUCUUUAAAAAUUGUAUAGAUUGUUUGUUGAUAUGGAUUUUGUGAUAUACAUCAAAAAUCAUAACUACAUCAAAUAUUCUUAAAUCCUUACAGAGUGCAGAUCAGAAGACAAAGUUGAUCAGCCAGACAAACAUGUGACUGAAGCUGAAGGACAAUCAGUGACAUUAGAUUGUACAUAUACAACAACCUCAACACAACCAUACAUCUUCUGGUACAUCCAGAGA
Onychostoma macrolepis is the source of this 2130-nucleotide long non-coding RNA. RefSeq lists it as uncharacterized. NCBI's taxonomy places the organism in Eukaryota, Metazoa, Chordata, Actinopteri, Cypriniformes, Cyprinidae. The transcript is spliced from 3 exons. The record is from RefSeq and is a predicted model, not a curated record.